GGGCAAGUCACUUCCUCUCUCUAGACACCAGUUCCCCAUCUGGAAGAGGAGAUGAUGAGAAAAGUAUACAAUAGCCCAAGAGUAACGGGACUGAGAACAGAGCCCAGAAAGCACUGCAGUAAAAAGCCAUUUGAUCCAGCUUUGGGCUGGGAUUUGGUGUUUACUCCAAAGGAAAGAAUGAAACAUCUUUCCUCCCUCCCUUCCACCUACGCCCUGUGUAAGGAUGGCAUCGUGUUUCCAAAAACUGAAACUUUCUCACCCUGAGGAAGGGAAACAAGUUACGUGCUGCUGACGAUUUGGAGAUCUGUCUAUCGAGCCAUUAUGCUCCUCUAUACUUCAUCAAGGAUCAUGUGAUAGAAAGAAAGUGGGAUUUUGCAUGUUGGAAGAAUAAAGAAGGUUUGGUUUGGAACCAACUAGAGUAGGAAGAAGCCAACUAGAAGAGGCUCUAGGUCAAAAUCCAGAGGCUUCACCCUUGUUCCUAGAAGUCCUCUCUAGAAAGUCCGAGUCAGCAGACAGAGAGAGAAACUGCUGGGAGGGACAACAUCCAAGUGCCCUGAACCCAGGCUGAGCCCAAGACCUGACUCUGGCCACUUGGGCCAGAAACACCCACCGAGUUACUGUCCGUGGUGGACAGGAACAUCACUUAGCCUGCACCCAGGAGAUCCCUAACUGCCCAGGUCUAUUGAGAUGCAGCCAAGUUCUGCCUGUGCCUCAAGUCUUCUGAAGCUACAUAAUUUGACUGCUUUGAAGAUACUUCCCACAAUGCUUCAGCCCAAGAAAACCACUAGACCCCUCUUGGAGGGGAGGAGGUUAUGGAAAAGAAUUUCUGUAGCUAUAUUUUCAGGCCAUGCUGGGCAUCCUAGGGUGUUCAAAGCAGGGAGAUUAGAGUGGGCUAAUAAUCCUCACAUGAGUAUUAGCAAAGGAUGGAAAAACACUCGUAGGACAUCCGAGAGCAAUCAGGAAUCUAUAGGCAGUCUAUGCAUUUAUUUCACUUUCUCAUUACCUAAAACAGUAAACUCCAAAAUUUUGUAAUUGAAAAUCCAUUCAGUAAAAAUUUUGAACAUGCAUUCCCUAAUUACUUAUACUUACUUAUUUGUGAGUUACAUACGUAUACCAUAGUUCUAAUAAUAUGUAUAUUAUAAAACAUACCAAAAAAGGAUAUUUUUUAAAGAUACAAUAAAGAAACAAAUAAUGUUUCUACUAAAUAUCUUGCUGAGUACAUUAUUGGCCAAUAUGUAUUUAGGGUAACUUUUGACAUUAGCAACAGCGACAUAAAUUCAUAUUUUAAAUAAUUUUCUUGAUUUCAAUUUUUUGGGCCAACAUCGUAUUGGAUGAUUACAUUGUCACUAUUUUUACCUCAUGUUGUAUCUUAUAAAGAUCUUGCACCAAAAGUAGAAGUGUUGGCUCUACCAUCUGCCCAUGCAUUGCAUGUUGUUUGCAUUAUCAGUG
This 1449-nucleotide long non-coding RNA is filed under the name Equus caballus (horse). Its description in RNAcentral is "lncRNA (ENSECAG00000048949.1)". The record is from RNAcentral. Lineage: Eukaryota; Metazoa; Chordata; Mammalia; Perissodactyla; Equidae.